GAGAAGAAAGAAGAGUAGAAAUAUUUUGAAACAUGUCGAUAAUUGAAGUUUUGAACUUUGUUCUUGUCUGUCGGAUCUGAGUGUUUGGAGCGUUUGAGUCGGGAAAACUGAGGGUGUGUAGUCGACGGUGGCAGCCAAGGCUGCUGUAGCCGGAAGUUUCAGAGAGGGAGGGGUGUGCUGACGGUGGUGGCGUGGAGCCAUUGACCGCGGCUGCCGGACCUAGAACAGGGGGAGUUGAGAGAGCAGAGGGAGUUCAGGUGGCUGGUCAUUGUAGUCGCCGGGUGAAGUAGCAGCGGCGGUGGGGUCUGGCAGGACCGAGAAGGAGAGAGAGAGGGGUGAUGGCCGGCGGCCUUGGUGCCGUCGACCUGAGGAGGGAGAUCCGAGCGUCGUCAGCGGCUGUCGCUGUUGCUCUGGCAAGCUUCGGCGGCGGCGGCAGCGGAAUUCCGAGGGAGAGGGAGGAACGGGCAAUUGAGAGAGAGCCGAGGAUGGCGCGGCUCGUCGCCGCUGCUCCUCCGGCGAGCUUACUUCUGGAAGAGGGAGAGAGAGACCGAGUUCUUGGCGUGCGUGUGUGUGUGUUCUUCCAUCUGAGUGUGUGCGUGUGUUUGUGUUAGUGUGCGUGUGUUUGUGUUAGAGUGUGUGCGGCUGAAGGGAGGAAGGGGGGGAAGAAGGGAAGGGUUUGGGCUAGUGUUGGGUUUUGGAAAUUGAGUUGGGUUAGGGCUUAGUUUAAGUGUUGGGCCGAGAGUUGGGCCUUAGUUAUGGGCCGAUUUUUUUAUGAGUAUUUGGGCCGAGAUUUUUAAUUAAAUGGGCUGGGUUAUUUCUUAAUUUUGGGCCGAGUCAGUUGGGCCGAUUUUCUUUUAUUAAGCUGGGCCUUUGAUUAUUUUAAAUCAUGGGCUGCCCAAGUAUUUAUUUAAUAGGAUUUGUGUAGAUUUUAUUUAAAGGAGCUACACUAUU
Molecule: long non-coding RNA, 951 nt
Filed under: Salvia miltiorrhiza (redroot sage)
Lineage: Eukaryota; Viridiplantae; Streptophyta; Magnoliopsida; Lamiales; Lamiaceae
Description: long non-coding RNA (SMIL_LNC007378)
Source: RNAcentral